Juglans regia (Persian walnut) is the source of this 2942-nucleotide RNA transcript. It is a transcript of the gene named two pore calcium channel protein 1A-like, with no coding region annotated. The record is from RefSeq and is a predicted model, not a curated record. NCBI's taxonomy places the organism in Eukaryota, Viridiplantae, Streptophyta, Magnoliopsida, Fagales, Juglandaceae. The transcript has 25 exons.
GCAUGGGACUAGGCAUGAGGGAUAGCUCAUGUUAGUUCAACUCGGAACACGUAACCGUCGACAAACAGCUUCCAAGUACACACACUACCUCAAUAUAUAAGAGCGUUCAUUCCGUAACAAUUCGCUGUUUGCGGACCAUCAUCAGUGAUCACCUUCUUCUCAUACACAGUUACACACUCUCUCUCUCUCUCUCUCUCUCUCCCCGCGUGUGACACUUUUAUUGGAAGAAACUGUGAUUUGUUGUCAAUUUAUUUUCUCUCUGCAACUAUCUUCCUCUCUCACCGAUCAUGGAGAGGCCUCUGCUCAGUAGAGAAAACAGUGGAGCUGUGAAUCGCCGGAGAGAACGGUUUAAUCGGUCUCAAGCUAUUGCCUACGGCUCGCCUUAUGAAAAGGCUGCCGCACUGGUUGAUCUGGCUGAAGAUGGAAUUGGUUUACCUGAACAAAUUCUUGAACAAUCAAACUUCCAGAAUGCUGCAAAAUUCUACUUCAUAUUUACUCGGCUUGAUUUCAUUUGGUGCCUUAAUUAUUUUGCAUUAAUAAUCCUAAAUUUCUUAGAGAAACCUUUGUGGUGUACCAACUAUUUCACGUAUUCUUGCAACAAUAGGGAGUACUUUUAUCUUGGGCAGUUGCCCUACUUAACUGGUGUGGUGUCUCUUAUAUAUGAGGCCAUAACUCUCAUCAUACUUAUGGUACAUACUUUCUUUCCAUUAUCAUUUGAAGGGUACCAUCUCUAUUGGAAAAGUCUCCUUAAUCGAGUAAAGGUGGCUUGCUUGUUAAUUUUGGUUGCUGAUAUAUUGGUUUAUGCCCUCUACUUGUCUCCCAAAGCCUAUGAUUUUCUUCCUUUUAGAAUCGCACCAUAUAUCAGAGUCGUGUUUUUCAUGCUGAACUUUAGGGAAUUACGAGCAACCAUCAUAAUCCUGGCUGGAAUGCUUGGCACGUACUUAAAUGUCUUGGCUUUAGGUCUAUUGUUUCUUCUGUUUUCCAGUUGGUUAGCCUUUGUAAUGUUCGAAGAUACCCAACAGGGAAAGACAGUAUUUACUUCAUAUGGCACUACUCUGUAUCAGAUGUUUGUUUUGUUCACCACAUCCAACAACCCAGAUGUCUGGAUUCCUGCAUACAAGGCUUCGCGUUGGCAUUGCCUGUUUUUUGUUCUCUAUGUGCUAUUGGGGGUUUACUUUGUCACCAACUUGAUCCUUGCUGUCGUAUAUGACAGCUUCAAAAGUCAGCUUGUGAAACAAGUUUCUGAGAUGGAUUCUACAAGGAGGCGUGUAUUGAAGAAAGCAUUUAAUCUCAUAGAUAAACAUAAUUGUGGAUUUAUUGACAAAGAGCAAUGUGUUCAACUGUUUCAGGAACUAAAUAAAUACAGGACUUUGCCUAAUAUAUCUGGGGAAGAAUUUGAGUUGAUUUUUGAUGAGCUGGAUGAUAGUCAAGACUUCAAGAUCAACUUGGACGAAUUUGCUGACCUUUGCAAUGCCAUUGCUCUAAAAUUCCGGAAGGAAGAUUCUCCAUCUUGCUUUGAAAAAUGUCCAUUCUACCAUUCACCCUUCUCUGAAAAAUUGAAAGGCUAUGUACGGCGUCCCAUAUUUGGAUACAUUGUAUCCUUCAUUCUUGUGCUGAAUCUGUUGGCUGUUAUUGUUGAAACAACGCUUGAUAUUGAAAACAAUUCUGCUCAAAAGGUGUGGCAAGAGGUUGAGUUUGUCUUUGGGUGGAUAUAUGUAUUUGAAAUGGCUCUAAAAGUCUAUGCAUUUGGAUUUAAAAAUUAUUGGAGGGAUGGUCAAAACCGUUUUGAUUUUCUCGUCACAUGGGUAAUAGUUAUCGGAGAAACCUUAAUUUUUGUGACCCCUGAAGGACUAGCAUUUCUUUCCAAUGGAGAAUGGAUUCGCUACCUUCUCCUCGCAAGAAUGUUAAGGUUGAUAAGGCUACUGAUGCAUGUUCAGCGUUACCGUGCCUUCAUUGCCACUUUCAUAGCCCUUAUACCAAGCUUGAUGCCAUACCUUGGGACCAUAUUUUGUGUCCUUUGUAUUUAUUGUUCUCUUGGUGUGCAGAUCUUUGGUGGAAUUGUCAAUGAUGGAAAUGCCAGUUUGGAAGAAACAGAUCUUGCUGAUUACGACUAUUUACUUUUCAAUUUCAACGACUAUCCAAAUGGGAUGGUGACACUUUUUAAUCUACUAGUUGCGGGAAAUUGGCAAAUGUGGAUGGAGAGCUACGAGGAAUUAACCGGAACUUCAUGGACACUCGCUUAUUUUUUCAGCUUUUACUUAGUAACAGUGUUACUGCUCUUGAAUUUGAUUAUAGCUUUUGUCUUGGAGGCAUUCUUUGCUGAAAUGGAUCUUGAGUCAUCAGAAAACUGUAAUGAGCAGGACAAGGAAGUGGAUGGAGGAAAGGGGCGUCGACGAUCUGUGGGCACAAAAUCACAAAGCCAAAGGGUUGAUGCUCUUCUUCAUCAUAUGUUGAGUGCAGAGCUCGAUCGACCAGAGUCUUCUAAUCCAUAGGACCUUCUCAUGGUUCAGCAUUAACUUGGCAUAGGUGGAUGAAAAUUGUUGUGUUUGCAGCAAGAUGCAACUUGACCUGGAUGAGACACAACUAGAGGGCGCGGAUGGGACACAGCCUGAGCGCUUAUUGUAGUUCUGAACUUGGUGUUACAGUCUUGUUGUUGAAGUACCCGAGAAGCUUUGUUGUAAUGCUUGAACUUUGUUAGUAAAGUGGUCCGGAUUUGGUAUUGGGGACUUUGUUAAACUAGGUUGAUUACUGUUGGUGGUGUUUGGUUAUUGAAGUUCUAGAUUUGGUGUUAUUAGGUAUUUUUGUUGUUAUUUUCUUUAAAGCUUUGGUGUAUUUUUGUUGUUAUUGAAGCUCCAGAUUUGUUAUUAUAGACUUUGUUAUUGACGUUUGAGAGGUUGGGGUGACAAAUAUUUUGGUUAUUGAAGUUAGUGUUUGUGUUAUUA